This is a non-coding RNA of Nerophis lumbriciformis (worm pipefish), 591 nucleotides long. NCBI's taxonomy places the organism in Eukaryota, Metazoa, Chordata, Actinopteri, Syngnathiformes, Syngnathidae. The record is from RefSeq and is a predicted model, not a curated record.
GAGAGGUUAUUUUAUUGUGCCUCGUGUUUGUGUUGUUUAUAUGUCACAUUUAAGGAGAGUCACUCCGAGCUGUGUGUGGAAGCUAAGCUAACUAGCGGAGCAAACUUAGCGCCCUUGGAAGCGGAAGGAGUUUUCACGGUGUCAAAAUUGUGAGGAGAAAAGGAGGAGAGAAUUAAAGUUGCACCAGUCGAAGCUCUCUGCAUCUUGUGUCAUUAAUCCAAGUGGGCCGCUACAGUGAAAACUCCCCGGCUGCAACCAGUGACAACUUCUGGCUGCAACAGACCUGCCAUCCCUGCAGAGAAGCUGACGCCAUCUCAUCCGAGAUCCAGCUACCAACCUGUUACCAGCCAACUGACUCCAUUUGCACCCACAUCCUGCACAGGCAAGAUUAAAAGGACAGCACGCUAAAGGAAUUACCUGAAGUUCCUCUGGUGGACAGGCGGAGAUUUGGAGAAGGAACCACAGGAGUACAGGAUGGCGGUUCAUCUCUUCGGAGCCGCUUCGUCUCCAGGAUGUGCCAAUUUUGGUUUAAAGCAUCUAGCACGACAACACAAGGCUAGCUAUCCCCGAGCAUCAAUAUUUGUGGAGAAA